UACGUAGGGUGCAGGCGUUAAUCGGAAUUACUGGGCGUAAAGCGUGCGCAGGCGGUUUCUUAAGUCAGAUUUGAAAGCCCCGGGCUUAACCUGGGAACUGCGUUUGAAACUGGGAAACUUGAGUGUGGCAGAGGGGGGUGGAAUUCCACGUGUAGCAGUGAAAUGCGUAGAUAUGUGGAGGAACACCGAUGGCGAAGGCAGCCCCCUGGGUUAACACUGACGCUCAUGCACGAAAGCGUGGGGAGCAAACAGG
This 253-nucleotide ribosomal RNA is filed under the name uncultured bacterium. RNAcentral's name for it is "partial 16S ribosomal RNA". It matches the Rfam family "Bacterial small subunit ribosomal RNA", at positions 524 to 776 of the family's 1533-position model. The record is from RNAcentral.